This 465-nucleotide ribosomal RNA is filed under the name uncultured bacterium. RNAcentral describes it as "partial 16S ribosomal RNA". It matches the Rfam family "Bacterial small subunit ribosomal RNA", at positions 28 to 507 of the family's 1533-position model. The record is from RNAcentral.
GACGAACGCUGGCGGCGUGCUUAACACAUGCAAGUCGUACGGCAAGGCCCUUUCGGGGGUACACGAGUGGCGAACGGGUGAGUAACACGUGAGUAACCUGCCCACAACUUUGGGAUAACGCUAGGAAACUGGUGCUAAUACUGGAUAUGUGCUCCUGCUGCAUGGUGGGGGUUGGAAAGCUCCGGCGGUUGUGGAUGGACUCGCGGCCUAUCAGCUUGUUGGUGGGGUAGUGGCCUACCAAGGCGGCGACGGGUAGCCGGCCUGAGAGGGUGACCGGCCACAUUGGGACUGAGAUACGGCCCAGACUCCUACGGGAGGCAGCAGUGGGGAAUAUUGCACAAUGGGCGCAAGCCUGAUGCAGCAACGCCGCGUGCGGGAUGACGGCCUUCGGGUUGUAAACCGCUUUCAGCAGGGACGAAGCUUUUUGUGACGGUACCUGCAGAAGAAGCACCGGCUAACUACGUG